This 20-nucleotide non-coding RNA is filed under the name Mus musculus (house mouse). Lineage: Eukaryota; Metazoa; Chordata; Mammalia; Rodentia; Muridae. The record is from RNAcentral.
UAUCAGAAUUACACCAGAUU